RNAcentral lists this ribosomal RNA (404 nucleotides) under Escherichia coli. Its description in RNAcentral is "partial 23S ribosomal RNA". It matches the Rfam family "Bacterial large subunit ribosomal RNA", at positions 606 to 1010 of the family's 2925-position model. The record is from RNAcentral. Lineage: Bacteria; Pseudomonadati; Pseudomonadota; Gammaproteobacteria; Enterobacterales; Enterobacteriaceae.
UUUUGUAUAAUGGGUCAGCGACUUAUAUUCUGUAGCAAGGUUAACCGAAUAGGGGAGCCGAAGGGAAACCGAGUCUUAACUGGGCGUUAAGUUGCAGGGUAUAGACCCGAAACCCGGUGAUCUAGCCAUGGGCAGGUUGAAGGUUGGGUAACACUAACUGGAGGACCGAACCGACUAAUGUUGAAAAAUUAGCGGAUGACUUGUGGCUGGGGGUGAAAGGCCAAUCAAACCGGGAGAUAGCUGGUUCUCCCCGAAAGCUAUUUAGGUAGCGCCUCGUGAAUUCAUCUCCGGGGGUAGAGCACUGUUUCGGCAAGGGGGUCAUCCCGACUUACCAACCCGAUGCAAACUGCGAAUACCGGAGAAUGUUAUCACGGGAGACACACGGCGGGUGCUAACGUCCGUCG